GUGAAGGUGUUCGGAUCGCGGCGAUGCGGGCGGUUCGCUGCUCGCGACGUCGCGAGAAGUCCAUUGAACCUUAUCAUUUAGAGGAAGGAGAAGUCGUAACAAGGUUUCCGUAGGUGAACCUGCGGAAGGAUCAUUGUCGUAACCUGCGAAAGCAAAGCAACUCGCGAACACGUAGUCAACACUCGGGGAUUCGAGCGCGYCCUCCCCGGGGGACGCCCUUUUCUCCCCAAAGUCGGGGCGGCCCGGCGCUCGUUGCUCGCAGGCGGCGCGAUUGUCGCGAGCUAACGGCCUCCGGGCCUUCCCGACGCAACAAAAAACCGGCGCGGAAUGCGCCAAGGAAUAUGAAAGAGAGUGCGCUCUUUCGGCGUCAGCUCGCGCUGCGCUCGGACGGGCGUCGUCUUCUUGAUGAGUUUAUAAUGACUCUCGGCAACGGAUAUCUCGGCUCUUACAUCGAUGAAGAACGUAGCAAAAUGCGAUACUUGGUGUGAAUUGCAGAAUCCCGUGAACCAUCGAGUCUUUGAACGCAAGUUGCGCCCGAAUCCAUCUGGUUGAGGGCACGUCUGCCUGGGUGUCACGUACACGCGCCUCCCGCGAACCUUCCCCUUUAUGCGGACGAAUGGUCUCGCGGGAGCAGAUGUUGGUAUCCCGUGCCUGUUUCGCGCGGCUUGCCUAAAAACGGAGAUCCGGCGACGAAACGUCGCGUCUAGUGGUGGUUGAUGAGGCCUAACGGCCGAACCAGUUCGCGGCGCGAUCGUUUGUCGCAAGAAAGUCUCGGACGACACCUCGGACGCCCCCUAACGGGCGUGCCACUGUCGCGACCCCAGGUCAGGCGGGACUACCCGCUGAAUUUAAGCAUAUCAAUAAGCGGAGGAAGAGAAACUUACAAGGAUUCCCCUAGUAAC
RNAcentral lists this unclassified non-coding RNA (902 nucleotides) under Saxifraga afghanica. RNAcentral describes it as "sequence contains ITS1, 5.8S rRNA gene, ITS2". The stretch from base 419 to 574 matches the Rfam family "5.8S ribosomal RNA". The record is from RNAcentral. Lineage: Eukaryota; Viridiplantae; Streptophyta; Magnoliopsida; Saxifragales; Saxifragaceae.